Leptopilina boulardi is the source of this 658-nucleotide long non-coding RNA. RefSeq lists it as uncharacterized. The record is from RefSeq and is a predicted model, not a curated record. NCBI's taxonomy places the organism in Eukaryota, Metazoa, Arthropoda, Insecta, Hymenoptera, Figitidae. The transcript has 3 exons.
UAUUUUUUCGGGAGUGCGAAUAUUUUUAAAAUCGCGAUCGUUUUAUAGAAUUGUUAUAGUUGUAGAUGUUUAGAUAUUUUUUCGGGAGUGCGAAUAUUUUUAAAACCGCGAUCGUUUUAUAGAAUUAUUGUUAUAUUUAUAGAUGUUUAGAUAUUUUUUCGGGAGUGCGAAUAUUUUUAAAAUCGCGAUCGUUUAAUCUUUGUAGUAUCGUUUGUGAUAUUUCGCGUUGUGAAAAGAUUAAGAAAAUUUAUUUACAAGCUCAAAAUGAGAUUUCAGCUCCUAAAAAGAAGAAAAAGAUGAAAUUUCCACUUCUGCCUCCUACCAUCGUUCCGUCGAGGGAAUCCACAUAUUCGGUAUGUAAGGAGUUUCUAUAUGCUCAUCUGACUUUUGUGAUUCUGUGAAAACGUUUUGAAAUUGGAAAAACUCGAUAAACCGAUUAGAGGAAUCCGUCUUUCUUUUUUUUUUUGGCGCAUGAAUGAAAGCUUUUAAACUCAGACUACCUAGAGGAACAUGAAUUCAGACAUAUAUGUGCCGAUGGUGGCCAGCCACAUUCAGUAGGCUUUACUUUGCCUAAUAAUGCUAAGUGCUUCGUCAGCCGUUUGGUGCAGUGUUGCACGAGUUUUACUCUGAUACGAUGAUGAUGAUGCAGUCUAGUCUG